This 84-nucleotide transfer RNA is filed under the name Felis catus (domestic cat). It matches the Rfam family "tRNA". Rfam says of the family: Transfer RNA (tRNA) molecules are approximately 80 nucleotides in length. Their secondary structure includes four short double-helical elements and three loops (D, anti-codon, and T loops). Further hydrogen bonds mediate the characteristic L-shaped molecular structure. tRNAs have two regions of fundamental functional importance: the anti-codon, which is responsible for specific mRNA codon recognition, and the 3' end, to which the tRNAs corresponding amino acid is attached (by aminoacyl-tRNA synthetases). tRNAs cope with the degeneracy of the genetic code in two manners: having more than one tRNA (with a specific anti-codon) for a particular amino acid; and 'wobble' base-pairing, i.e. permitting non-standard base-pairing at the 3rd anti-codon position. Lineage: Eukaryota; Metazoa; Chordata; Mammalia; Carnivora; Felidae. The record is from Rfam by way of RNAcentral.
GCCUAGGUGGCUCAGUUGGUUAAGUGUCUGACUUUGACUCAGGUCAUGAUCCAUGGUUCGUGGGUUCAAGCCCCACAUCAGGCU